GCGUUGGUUUGGCUCAGUGGUUACUUCCGAUUAUUGAAAGAUCCCCCUCUCAUGAUCACCGGGAAACCGGCGACCGGAGAUCGAACCUCGGGCACUGUCCAACGUUUUC
This 109-nucleotide vault RNA is filed under the name Carassius auratus (goldfish). Its description in RNAcentral is "Vault RNA (ENSCARG00000017353.1)". It matches the Rfam family "Vault RNA". From Rfam's summary of the family: This family of RNAs are found as part of the enigmatic vault ribonucleoprotein complex. Lineage: Eukaryota; Metazoa; Chordata; Actinopteri; Cypriniformes; Cyprinidae. The record is from Rfam by way of RNAcentral.